GGGGUGGAGGUGGGGAUGGGGGACACACACACCCCAAGAAACGCAGCGAAGGGGAAAACUCCUCCAUUUGUGUCUUUUCUUCAUUUGCUCACUGUGUCUUUCCAAUCGUAGGAGGCUUACGUGCAGAAAAUGGUCAAAGUGUGCAACGAUUCAGACCGGUGGAGCCUCAUCUCCCUGUCCAACAACAGCGGCAAAAACGUGGAGCUGAAAUUCGUGGACUCUCUGAGGCGGCAGUUUGAAUUCAGCGUCGAUUCCUUUCAAAUCAAGCUGGACUCCCUGCUGCUUUUUUACGAGUGCUCAGAGAACCCCAUGACCGAAACUUUUCACCCCACCAUCAUCGGCGAGAGCGUCUACGGGGAUUUCCAGGAGGCCUUUGACCACCUCUGCAACAAGGUAAUCGCCACCCGCAACCCCGAAGAGAUCAGAGGAGGGGGUCUCCUGAAGUACUGCAACCUUUUGGUAAGGGGUUUUAGGGCUGCCUCCGAAUCUGAGAUUAAAUCCCUGCAGAGGUACAUGUGCUCCAGGUUUUUCAUUGACUUCUCAGACAUCGGGGAACAGCAGAGGAAGCUGGAGUCCUACUUGCAGAACCACUUUGUGGGCUUGGAGGACCGCAAGUACGACUAUCUCAUGACCCUUCACGGCGUGGUGAACGAGAGCACGGUGUGCCUGAUGGGGCACGAGAGGAGGCAGACUCUCAAUCUGAUCACCAUGCUGGCCAUCCGCGUCCUGGCCGAGCAGAACAUCAUCCCCAACGUGGCCAAUGUCACCUGCUAUUACCAGCCGGCCCCUUACGUGGCGGACGCCAACUUCAGCAAUUACUAUAUCGCCCAGGUUCAGACGGUGUUCCCUUGCCAGCAGCACACCUACUCGACUUGGCUGCCGUGUAAUUAAGGACGCCAAUUAGCAGACCUGGUGGGGAGAACGUUUUCUGAGACGUAGGAAGGGGCGAGGUGCCCCCCUUGGAAAAGGUGUGUGUGUAUAGGGGGGGGGGGAGGUCGUUUUGUGCAAUGAUGAUCUGCUCUGGUUUGGUUUUUUUUUUCAAGCUUGGUUAAAAAAAGCUUGAUGAUUCUUCUUAAUAAUUAACGGGAGCACGAUCGAGAAAGAAACCCCCUCCCUGAUAAUUGGAUCCUACCCCAGAGCACAAGAGGCCUGUCAUUAAAAGCAACCAGCUUCCCCUGAAGUAAGUGAGGGAGGAAUGCUUGAUGACAAUAUGGGUUGGCGAUACCUGCUCCCAUAGCUUUGGCAUAGAGAAGGUGGGAAAGCCUUAUUUCCUUUUAUUUUUAUUCUUAACUCUAGAAUGGGAUCUGCAAAAAAAAAGGGAGAAUGCGAAAGAAGAAGCAAAACAAAACACAUAAAAAAAAAACAACAAAAAGAAGAAAAAAAAUCACAAAAAAUUCUUUACGUAUAUAUUCAGGAAUUAAGAGUUAGAGGCAUAAAGCAGAGAUAAGCUGAAUAAAAAUGAUGUAUAUUGGGAAUUAACUGCAUUUUGGGGCUUGCAGCAAGUGCCGUCUAUGGGGUGACCGUGUAGAAUGUAUAGCUUGCUUGACUAGGACGCUUUUCCCAAAAACAGCUUGCUCCCAACGAGCAGUAGUGGAUCGGUGCAGUUAGAAAAGCAGAAACACCUACGGUGACUGAAAUCCGUUUAUUUCCCAGCUGUGUGCACGCCUCACAUUUUAAAAAUGUGGGAGGGAGCGCAGGAGAACCAGCUGUGGCAAACAGAAUAUUCUCAAGGACCAAAGAUUUCCACAAAUAAGUUAUCCGAGCAAAGAAGAUACAGUAGAGUAUAUAUAUAUAUAUAUAUAUAAAAAAGAAAAGAAAGAUGUUGCUAUAUUUGUACACACCAACAGUAAUCAAAAGUGCCUGAUGCCUUCAUAAAAUUUGAAGUGAGAAAAAAAAAAAGAUAUAUAGUUUUGUGGUUUAACCAUGCAUUUUGUUUUAUCAGGGACACAAGGAUUAAAAAAAACAAACAACCAAACCAUAAGCUUGUGAAUAAGUGGUGGAGGAAAUGCCCUAUUUUUUUUUUUUUUUUUCUUGGCAAAUACUUGUAUAGAGUUAAUGUUAUGUCGGUGUGCUAUUAUCCUAGGUACGUGUGUGUAUGUGUGUAUAUAUAUGUUUGUGUGUGUAUAUAUGUACGUGUUAUAGGUGUAUAUCUAUAUAUAUACACACACAAUAUAUAUUAAUGUGGUCUAGGAAAAUGUAGCAAUUAAGGAAUGUUUAAAUAAAGUACUACGUGUUUUCCAGUUUGCAACAGGAUGUCAUAGGACAGUGGGCACCUUGCAGUGAAUUUUUUAACCCACACCUGAGAAAUUUGGAGUUAACAACCCAGUCAGGAUUAAGGUGGGAUUCAGAUAAUGUCUUUGGUUGCAAGAACAAGGAUUACAGUAAUUCAGUGGGUUGCUUGUGAGCCAUAAUAAUUCCACAGAUGGAGAAACAUAUGACUAGCUGAUUAUUAUUUUUUUUUUUUUAAACUAUUUUGUACUGUAAUGCCAUUUUGACAUUUAACCCACUAAUGUUGUGACUGCAUACCUCCAUGAUGUGUAAUUCAGUGGAACGUGGAUCAAAGAUAGGUUUAUUUAAACCCCCUGACAGCUAAAGAAUAUUGUAUUAGUUGGUGAUUUGAACACUAAUUGUUACUAUUUAAAGGAGUAUUUUUAAUCGAAUGCGUUACGCAUUCCAGGACCACUAGAAUUUAGCAAAUGUGAAAUGAACCCUUUUUAAGAGUGUUGCACGAUUGCUUAAAAUUAUAUUUUAUAUAUAUAUAUUAUAUAUAUAUAUUUUUAUGCAAAUAUUAAACAUCUUUGAUCUGGUUGUCACACUGCAUUUACAAUUUCAGUACUGUACUUUAUUUAAAUGGAAUCACUUUACAUUGGAACAAUAACUAUUCACUUUCGUUUCCUCUCCCAAAAGACCAGCAGGGGGGGGGGACAGACAAAAAAAAAAA
Calidris pugnax (ruff) is the source of this 2941-nucleotide RNA transcript. It is a transcript of the gene named protein FAM46A pseudogene, with no coding region annotated. Lineage: Eukaryota; Metazoa; Chordata; Aves; Charadriiformes; Scolopacidae. The record is from RefSeq and is a predicted model, not a curated record. The transcript has a single exon.